UACGGAAGGCAGCAGUGGGGAAUAUUGCACAAAUGGGCGAAAGCCUGAUGCAGCUAUGCCGCGUGUAUGAAGAAGGCCUUAGGGUUGUUAAAGUACUUUCAUCGGGGAGGAAAAAACAAAACUAAUAAUUUUAUUUCUUGACGUUACCCGAAAAAGAAGCACCGGCUAACUCCGUGCCAGCAGCCGCGGUAAUACGGAGGGUGCUAGCGUUAAUCAGAAUUACUGGGCGUAAAGAGCACGUAGGUGGUUUUUUUUAAAGUCAGAUGUGAAAUUCCCUGGGCUUAACCUUAGGAACUGCAUUUUGAAACUGAAAUACUAGAGUAUCGUAGAGGGAGGUAGAAUUCUAGGUGUAGCGGUGAAAUGCGUAGAUAUCUGGAGGAAUACCUGUGGCGAAAGCGGCCUCCUAAACGAAUACUGACACUGAGGGUGCGAAAGCGUGGGGAGCAAACCAGGGAUUAGAUACCC
Molecule: ribosomal RNA, 465 nt
Filed under: uncultured bacterium
Lineage: Bacteria
Description: bacterial SSU rRNA
Rfam family: Bacterial small subunit ribosomal RNA
Source: RNAcentral